AGGGCUUGCGGACACUCUUUCAUCGAUCGUAUCGAGGUUGUUGUCGGGAGACCAAACGGAGGAGGAUGAUGGCGAGGAGGAGGAAUGACAUUUCGAUCCAUCCGAUGGAUGUGCAGGUUCAAUUCUGGCGAUAAUACCAACUGAGCGUGUAUGGCUGAGGAUGGAAGUUUGCAUUCUGGCCGCACUAGUCAAUCUUUUCUGAUCAUUUAAAUCAGCUAAGGGCCAAGGCUCAAUUUGGAUUCUUUCCAGCUGGGAAUGUCCAACCUGAUAUGCAUUCUGUGAGAGUCACAGUGCUUCUUGAAUGAGGCAGAGACUCGGAUAUUGGAGUGAUGGAAAGUAUGGUAUCUUUGGGUGAUUGGAGGUGUUUAUCUGUAUGCCUUCUGAUCGACUUCUCUGAUAUUAUUAAUGACUAUCAUCCUCAUUAAUUACCUUGAUGUGUUCUCUGGAAUAUUUUAUGACAUCAGCAGUCCUAUUGCCUGUCAAGGUGUUUUUCUCAUUCUUGGUGAGUAUCAUCUGUCUGCGUUCACUCUUCAAGGUCUUGUUAGUCCAUCAGCAUAAUUUCCAUGUGUUUUAUUCAGACGAAUCUGUUACAAGGCAUACAUCGACCAAAUGUUGAAAAUUGUGGCAUUGGAUCUUAAAAUUAUACAUCUUUCCCUGCAGUUUUUAUGGAUUGACUCCCUUUACUAUGUUGUCCAGCAGCUGCAGGUGCUUGUCAUUAUGGUUAAUGGAAUGAGAAUAAAAUUGAUCUUCUUUACAAAUGGUAACAUGUAACCCAUUUUUCCAAAAGAAACCUUUUUACCUUCCUUAUAUGAGAAUUUAUUAAGGAAAACCACAAUAGAAGUGAUACCAUGCAUCAAUAUAUACAACUUGCUUGUAGGGAGUCACACUAAAGAAAGUUUUAAGCCGCUCACUUCUUCACAUAAUUGGUAGGCAUUGAAACUUGUGCAAACUUGAGCAUAGUUUCAAAUUGUUGGUCAGGGGUGAAAAAUACAUAGUAAAGAAGCUUGGGCUAUUUCUGCCGUCUAUCUGUGAUGUUUGACUCUUAGAAAUAUUGUCAUUGUAACUCUCAAAUUGAUUGAUGUAUUCAUGUGCUAGUGAGCUUAAGGUGUCUAUUGUUUAUUGUCAUUUCAUCUGUCACCUAAUAUACAUGGCAGUAUAAAAAACAGUUAGGGAGUAAUAGAUCUUAGACUAUUUAUUUAGUAUAAAUGUUUUCCCUACUCAGUCUAAAUUUCCUGCUACUACUUCUUGACAAAUUUCAGCCAACUGAGACAAUUAUGAUUGCCUAAUCAAUUAAUGCAGAAAAAAUGCAUCUGAGUUCAUGACAAUGGAUGUAUCUGUAUUUUAUGUUCCUGCCAUAUCAUCAACAGUCUCAAAUGGUUGAUGGAUAGUCCCCUGGAUAUUCUAUUGUAUUAAUGAAAAGUUUACGAUCUAAAUUAGGCAUUUAAUCUAUCCAAAUUAUGGUGGUUUACUGACUGUUGUUUUAACAUGGGUGACUUUUUUUCUGCAACACCCUUUUUGUUUCAGAAUAAGAUGCGUGGAAUUCCCUAUGAUUGGCAAGCUGAUGCAUCAAAUUUGUCUUCUGCAGACUGUAGGAGUCAAAUCCUUGUUUGCUCUGAAGUCACAAAGGUUCCAUUCUUCAUGUCUUUGUUUCAACUGGGAUAUUUCUUCACCACUGUUCAUUAGAUAGGGAGGUGAAAAGAUUGAUAUGGAACAUUAUUAUCCAUGCUACAGGACACAUCUGCUCAUUCUUCAUAGCAGUGAUGCUCAUAGCUUCAUGAAUCAUGGUGUCCCUGCACCAGUCAUGCUCACCAGAUUGUUGAUAACAAGCAGUCAUAUGAAAAAGAUUGGCAUCUUUGUUAUCACAUACUUGUUUGCUAAUGAUUUAUGACAGUACUUCGAGUUUUGUCAUCUAUUUAACACCACUUUAUUAAUAUAAUUAGCAUAAUCUAGUUGCUAUCUCCAUUUUAAGGAUUGGAAGUUCAAGUUAGAGACAGUUCUUUUGUUGCAGGAAAAGUAAAGGAAUAAGGCUGACAUUUGAUCAUCUUUCUUUUGAUUCUUUUCUUGUUAGUGUACAUGUAGCUGGAGAAUACAUAAUGCACAAGAGUUCUAUCUUUGGUUAAUCUUCUUCUUACCCAGUUUCAUUAGUGUACAUGUAGCUAUCAGAUGAACAAACAAAAAAUUGACAGUAAAAACUCAUGUCUUUAGAACUACAUACAGUUUGUGUGAUGACUUUUGUGGACAUCCAUGUUGACUGCCAUAGGAAUUGAUAGAUUUUGCAUCUCACUGUUACCAUGGCACAUGAACAAGGAAGAUUCAGCAUACACAAGGUAGAAAUUCUGGAGACAAGUGAUUGCAAAGCCAUGAAAGCAAGGAUAUAUAAGAAUAAAGUGAAAGACACUGGUUACUACAAGCUUUUGUUUUUGACGCUCCACAGAAUAUGCAAGGAUGAAGAGCUGAUAGAAUUUGUAUAUCAUCAGCCCUAGAUGAACGAGAAAAGAAGUAUAAGAUGCUCAAAGCCCAGAGAUACAGAGUGGAACCUCUUGCCAUGGAUGUCUGAAGCUUGCAACUCCUGCCGCAGUUGCUGGUUCUGGUACAAAGAACUCACAGUGUUCAUGGGGGAUUGGUUUCCUGUCUUGAUGUCACCAUACAUGGGUUGGCUUUGGAAUGCACCGUGAAGGUACUCUGACCAUUUGAGGUCCUCCAUCUCGUCUCCGAGGUGGGCUUGCACAUCUUUCUCAGAUGUCAAUUCUGAGCAGGAGAAGACGCCACUGUCGAAGGAGCAAGUGCUCUGCAGCAUGAUGCGACCACCAUCAUUUACGCUUUUCCGGUUGCCAGUGUACCAGCCAGGGAUUGUAUCAUCUUCUUCUUCAUAGCUUGGUGGCAGAGCCAUGGAAGUCGAAAGAGUUGUGAUUGGGGUGGAUAUUGCAUUGCAGUUCAACCAGAAGAGUGGAUUCGAGUUGAUCGUGAUGGAAGUCGCCUGACUGCUGCUGCUGUAGUCAGGAGCAAAGCUUACCUGUGGAAAAGGGAGAUAACCCAUUGAAUUGGAAGAACAGCAGCUUGAUGAACUCGUGAGGAACUGGUCCAAGAAUAUUUCUUUCUUCAAGGUGCUGCUCUCAUCCAUGGACUUAUCAAUCACCGACUGGAGAUCGCUGGAGUCAGAAUUCUUGUCGCUGUUGCUGGCCACCUUAUCAUCAUCACCACCAUCAACCUUGACAAGUGGCUUGUGGCUACUGGGGUCGAUACCUCUCUGUGUUAGCUUCUUCUUGAUGCUGGAAUUCCACAAAUUCUUGAUCUCGUUAUCCGUCCUCCCCGGCAAAUGUGCUGCAAUCUUUGACCAUCUGAUGAAGUCAAAGACAUGGAAGCAUCAGCUAAACUGAGCCCUCAUAGAACAUGGACUUCAUCGUUGGAAAAGACAAGGGGUGUUGCUUGUACCUGUUUCCCAGGACUGCAUGGAGUUCGAUGAUGAGGUCCUCCUCCUGCUGUGAGAAUGUACCUCUCUUGAGGUCAGGCCUCAGGUAGUUGAUCCACCUCAAUCUGCAGCUCUUUCCACACCUUUGAAGACCUGGCAAUUCUUGCGUACGUGAAGGACAUAAGACAGAGAGGAAAGCAUGCAACUGGCCAUCAUCACUUCAGCAUACCUGCUUGAUUAGGGACAGUGCUCCAACACCCAUGGCCAUACUUGUUAAUGUGCUUGAUGAGCUUCUCAUCUUCCUCAGGAGACCAGAGGCCUUUUCUUGGCUUCUGCUUGUGGCAGCAGGAGUGCCCUCCCAUUUGGCCGAUUGCCGCAAGAAGAAGGUUUCUUUAGUGAAUUAGGAUGUGGAGAAUUUUGAGAGUGGAAGAAAGAAUUUGUGGGAGGUUGAGGAACUGUAGUUGCAGUGGUGGGGUUGGAAUUAAGAAGUGGGCUGAGCUUAAAAGUAUAUGUGAGAGAGAAAGUUGACAAUCAAGUGGUUAGGUUUGAGUUGAGGUUUCUUCUUCCUCUCUCUCUCUCUCUCUCUCUUUCUGAAGUUACAUGGUUCGUCACCUUCUCAGGGUUGAUGCCUACUGUUACAGUGAUGGGGGCAGUAAGUCUGAUGUGAACCGAAGAAACCUUGAAGGUUGCAGUCAUGUCUAUCAGUAGAAGUAAUAACUGACUUGAGUUCCUAUCCUCAGAUUGGGUUUGAAGCAACCCAUGCAGCCCUUUCCUGCCAAUCCUACCACAAGCGUAUCAUACAAAGGCCAGUACAGAUUUGGAAACGGAGGAGCAAGAAAAUCUUCUGAUGGCCAGAAACUGGUUAGAGAACAGUUCUGUCAGAGUAGCAGUAAAGCUGUGUGUUGUUGGAACUAAAGAAAGACCAGGAAACAAGAUAUCCGUCUCAGACUUCCAACAGGAACUGAUUGCCAGAGGAAGCAGGGGCGUUUUUUAUCCUUUCUAUGGAAAGCUCCAUGAUUGAGUCGAUAGAACAAAAUCCUGUGUGCAUAUUGUAAGAGAAUUGGCAUCUUCCUUUAUAUUAGCAGUAUCACUGUUCUCAUGGGAACUUACAGGAACAUGAUUUUGGCCGUCAAUCCCACUUGGUAAAACUAAUCCGUUCUGUUCUA
Molecule: long non-coding RNA, 4575 nt
Organism: Musa acuminata AAA Group (dessert banana)
Lineage: Eukaryota; Viridiplantae; Streptophyta; Magnoliopsida; Zingiberales; Musaceae
Exons: 4
Source: RefSeq, a predicted model, not a curated record